This 1170-nucleotide ribosomal RNA is filed under the name Triticum aestivum (bread wheat). RNAcentral describes it as "partial small subunit ribosomal RNA". Lineage: Eukaryota; Viridiplantae; Streptophyta; Magnoliopsida; Poales; Poaceae. The record is from RNAcentral.
AUGGCGCCGCUUCGCGGGGCCAAGCGCCGCAAGAAGGCGGCGGCGGAGAAGAAGGCCGCAAUGGCGGCCGCGGCGGCGGGGCAGGGUGCGCCUGGCGGCGACUGGUGGGAUGGCUUCUGCAUGAGGAUGGCAGGAACAUUAUCCUCUGCGGAGGACGCACACAGAUUUGAGUCUCUCUUUAAAAUGCCCAGAAAAACUUUCAACUAUGUUUGCAGCUUGGUAAAAGAUGAUAUGAUGGUAAGGGCUAGCAGCUACACCUUUAUCGAUGGGACGGUGCUGUCUUUAGAAGAUCGAGUAGCUGUUGCUCUGAGAAGGUUGAACUCUGGUGGGUCGCUGGUGACCGUAGGAACCUCUGUUGGUGUGAACCACUCGACUGUCUCUCUGAUAACUUGGAGAUUUGUUGAAGCUGUGGAGGCACGAGCAGGCCACCACUUACGCUGGCCAGACUCGGAUGAGAUGGCGAUGAUCAAAUCCAAGUUUGAGAAGAUCCAUGGUUUGCCAAACUGCUGUGGUGUAGUAGACACAACUCACAUCAUUAUGUGUCUCUCUUCAGCUGAACCAAACUGCAAGGUGUGGCUAGACCACGAGAAGAAUUACAGCAUGGUAUUGCAGGCUGUCAUUGAUCCUGAUAUGAGGUUCACAGACAUUGUAACCGGUUGGCCAGGUAGCAUGAAAGAGUCGAGUAUUUUACACAGCUCUGGUCUCUUCAGGCUGUGCGAGAACGGUGCACGGUUGAAUGGCAGCAAACUGACGGUAUCAGACGGGUCAGAAGUUGGGGAAUACGUAAUUGGUGAUGCAGGAUACCCUCUUCUCCCGUGGCUGUUCACUCCUUACCAGGAGAAUGACCUCUCAGAAUUGAAAGUGGAAUUCAAUAAGAGACACUCUGCAGCCAGAACAGUCGCGCUGAAGGCGCUGGCGAGGUUCAAGGACACAUGGAAGUUCCUGCAGGGAGAGAUGUGGCGCCCCGACAAGCAUAAGCUGCCUCGGAUAAUCCAUGUGUGCUGUCUGUUGCAUAACAUAGUGAUAGACAUGGAGGAGGAUGCAGCCAUGGACGACGCUCAUAUAUCAGAUGAUCAUGACGCUAAUUACAGGCAGCAAGUGUGCCAGUUAUCAGAUGAGAAGGCUGUCAGGAUGAGAGACAAACUGUCCGAGCACUUGAACAGCAGUUGA